CGAGAUGUGAAUUUUUCUAUCUGUUUCACGCGAUGUCCUCCAGAAAACUAAUUCUGAUCAGAAAACGUCUUGGUGGUGAAGGUUUCUGAUGGAAUAUUUAAUCUGGUUUUGCUGCAUUCGGUAGCAUGAUCGUUUUAUAAAUUUAUAUAUAUUUUUUUUUUUGGUAACAAUGGAAAACUGAUAACAAAAUAUAAAUAAAAUUACACCAUUUUAGACCCAGUCUAUGAUGAAAUGUG
Molecule: non-coding RNA, 236 nt
Organism: Cinara cedri
Lineage: Eukaryota; Metazoa; Arthropoda; Insecta; Hemiptera; Aphididae
Source: the annotation of a GenBank genome assembly